UUGCUAUAUAUAUAUAUAGCCUAGUAAUCGAAAGAUGUAUGAGGAGAAAUUCUUUCUCCCAUUUUUUGUUCCCUUUCUUUUUUUGUGGCGUUUAAAUCAUAUUCUAGAUUGAAGUUCCUUAUGUCCAGUCUUGUGUAUCUGACUUAAGUGUAGCUAGAAUUCACAUCUAUACUUGUGAGUCAUAAAUUUUAAUUUUAUGAACCUGUAAAGUUUGUUAGCAUGUGAUCUGUUAUACAUGCUAAAAAAUUACUCUUAAUUAUAAGAGUACUUAAAUGUAUCACAGAGGAGAAAAACAAAUUAAAAUGACUAUUUGGGCCACUGAAACUAUUUACUUUGUUAAAUAGAUGAAAAAGAAGGGAAACUUAAAGAUGGCUGUAUUUACAGCUACCUUAUUUUAAAGUUUUAUUUGCACAUUUACUUUGAAUUCUUAUUUUCAGAGGAGCUGGUUUCUCUCAGAAGACUGUUUGUGAUAAAUUCUUUUCUGUUUACUUCAAAAUUAUUUUAGAGCUAUCCUGUAAUCAUAGAUUUUUGAGGGAAAAAUAGAUCAUAUGCUAUAAAAAUAAAUAUAUAACAUUCUUCUUAUGUACAAAUAAUGUGACAGUCUCGUUUGAUCAAAUUAAAAUUAUAAAACUUAACAUCUUAAAUAGAAUUGUGGUUUGUAUCUUCCACAUAACAGCACAGACACCAAAAUUUGUUUUUUUUUAAUUUCAGAUGAUAGGAUUAGAGUGUGCAGAAACCUUGCCUGUGAGUUUAGAAAGGGCUUUUGAUUUUACUUUUUUUUUUUUC
RNAcentral lists this long non-coding RNA (786 nucleotides) under Bos taurus (domestic cattle). Its description in RNAcentral is "long non-coding RNA NONBTAT005989". Lineage: Eukaryota; Metazoa; Chordata; Mammalia; Artiodactyla; Bovidae. The record is from RNAcentral.